Molecule: microRNA precursor, 54 nt
Filed under: Pongo abelii (Sumatran orangutan)
Lineage: Eukaryota; Metazoa; Chordata; Mammalia; Primates; Hominidae
Description: miRNA
Source: RNAcentral
UUCCACAGCUGAAAGGACAUACUUUAUUUCAUCUAUCCAAACCUUACUAAUUCA